Molecule: long non-coding RNA, 291 nt
Filed under: Ananas comosus (pineapple)
Lineage: Eukaryota; Viridiplantae; Streptophyta; Magnoliopsida; Poales; Bromeliaceae
Description: long non-coding RNA (ACOM_LNC027971)
Source: RNAcentral
CGAAUGAGUCUUUGUUCUUCAAUUUGAAUCUUUUCUUCAAACUUCCGCAAUCAACUCUUCAAGACUCCAUUCAACUUUACGAAAUCCGCCAACCUAUAAAAUUCUUAACAAUCUCCCCCUUUGACGAUUUCGUGACAAAAUAUACUACAAUGCUUGUACACAACUCAGAAACAAUAAAAAGAAGAUCAUCGCAAUCACCAAACGACAAUCUCCUGCAUGAUCGAUCCAAUAAAUAAAAAAAUUAUAUUUUUCACAAUCUUAAUACAGACUCUAUGACUUAGACAUGGAGUC